UUUUUUCAAUAGGAGAGAAGUUCCAGGUUCAGCAACAUGCGAACUAAUUAGAAGCUUCUCCAUACUAUGGGUAGAAAGGGUUAUCCACGUGUGGCUUAUGAAAUGGUACUUCUUACGAACAUAUCAUGUCUUUUUACUUGAAUUGUCCAAUUUCAAUAUAUUUGAUUACUACAUUUGUACUGCAGAAGAAAAAGAAUCCACAUUUAAAAGGGUUAAGAAUAGAAGUAUGGAAAUAUGGACAUCUCAGAAAAGAUGGAAAACCAAUUAAUGAAGCAGUUGCCGAAACAUUGGUAUGUGUAUUAUACUAAUGUUCAAUUAAGCAUAAUUUGAUUUAUUAGUUGUAUCACUUGCUACUAUUUGAUUUGAGUUCCUUAAGUGCAGAAAAAGAUUGAAGAUUGUGCCACAUCAAUUUCCGAUAUGCUUGCAUAAGAUUCUAUCCGUGAUGAUGCUAUAGCUCGAGUUUUUGGUCCCGAACGCUAUGGAAGAGUUAGGGGACCCGGAUUUGGAGUUGUACCAUCAAAAGUGGAUGGAUAAAUACAAAGUAGUGGGAGAGCUAGAGAACUUGAAAGCCAAGUACAGAUUCAGGCACAAAGGAUGGGGGCAUUAGAAGAAAAAAUGGAGGUUUUCUCAGUAGGUUAUAAGUAGUUACUUUUUAUACAUUUUAUGAUUAUAUAGCUUUAUAUAGCCAAUUACAGGUAUAAUAACUUUUGUAAUUUUUGUAUUAUUAUACAAAAUGUGGAGGAUAGGAAUUCAAAUGCUUUUAAUCAGGUUUCCAUUUCCUAUAUUAUUAAAUGUUUAUUUAAUAUAUAUUCAAUUUGUAGCAUUCUAAUUUUAAAAAGAAUACUUUUUGUUUAUUAUGAAUUUGUAGUCACACCAAGGAAGUGGUGUCCAAAGAAGUACUACCCCCAAGACAAAUGCAAGAUGUCAACUGUUGCAUUGGUACAUGUUUGAGGAGGAAGAAGUCGUAGCAGAAGGGAAGAUUGCCACAAGAGAUCCAAGUGCAAAGGUGCAUCACUUGCCACUCGGUCGAGACUGUUGAAAGGUUUGGAUUGAGGAAGUCUAUGUGGGUAAUUUGACCCUAUACAGACCCACAUAUGAAUUCCGCACUCUUAGUGAAGCCAUGGAAAGUACUAUUGCUUGGUCAAAGAGUAGUAUUAGACUUCUUGAUUAAGGUAUUAGACUCUUAGUGGC
RNAcentral lists this long non-coding RNA (1191 nucleotides) under Olea europaea subsp. europaea. Lineage: Eukaryota; Viridiplantae; Streptophyta; Magnoliopsida; Lamiales; Oleaceae. The record is from RNAcentral.